UUAACCGAAUAGGGGAGCCGGAGGGAAACCGAGUCUUAAUUGGGCGUUAAGUUGCAGGGUAUAGACCCGAAACCCGGUGAUCUAGCCAUGGGCAGGUUGAAGGUUGGGUAACACUAACUGGAGGACCGAACCGACUAAUGUUGAAAAAUUAGCGGAUGACCUGUGGCUGGGGGUGAAAGGCCAAUCAAACCGGGAGAUAGCUGGUUCUCCCCGAAAGCUAUUUAGGUAGCGCCUCGUGAAUUCAUCUCCGGGGGUAGAGCACUGUUUCGGCUAGGGGGCCAUCCCGGCUUACCAACCCGAUGCAAACUGCGAAUACCGGAGAAUGUUAUCACGGGAGACACACGGCGGGUGCUAACGUCCGUCGUGAAGAGGGAAACAACCCAGACCGCCAGCUAAGGUCCCAAAGUCAUGGUUAAGUGGGAAACGAUGUGGGAAGGCCCAGACAGCCAGGAUGUUGGCUUAGAAGCAGCCAUCAUUUAAAGAAAGCGUAAUAGCUCACUGGUCGAGUCGGCCUGCGCGGAAGAUGUAACGGGGCUAAACCAUGCACCGAAGCUGCGGCAGCGACACUGUGUGUUGUUGGGUAGGGGAGCGUUCUGUAAGCCUGCGAAGGUGGCCUGUGAGGGUUGCUGGAGGUAUCAGAAGUGCGAAUGCUGACAUAAGUAACGAUAAAGCGGGUGAAAAGCCCGCUCGCCGGAAGACCAAGGGUUCCUGUCCAACGUUAAUCGGGGCAGGGUGAGUCGACCCCUAAGGCGAGGCCGAAAGGCGUAGUCGAUGGGAAACGGGUUAAUAUUCCCGUACUUGGUGUUACUGCGAAGGGGGGACGGAGAAGGCUAUGUUGGCCGGGCGACGGUUGUCCCGGUUUAAGCGUGUAGGUGUGUGUUCCAGGUAAAUCCGGUUCACUUUAACACUGAGGCGUGACGACGAGGCACUACGGUGCUGAAGCAACAAAUGCCCUGCUUCCAGGAAAAGCCUCUAAGCAUCAGGUAACAUCAAAUCGUACCCCAAACCGACACAGGUGGUCAGGUAGAGAAUACCAAGGCGCUUGAGAGAACUCGGGUGAAGGAACUAGGCAAAAUGGUGCCGUAACUUCGGGAGAAGGCACGCUGACACGUAGGUGAAGUGAUUUACUCAUGGAGCUGAAGUCAGUCGAAGAUACCAGCUGGCUGCAACUGUUUAUUAAAAACACAGCACUGUGCAAACACGAAAGUGGACGUAUACGGUGUGACGCCUGCCCGGUGCCGGAAGGUUAAUUGAUGGGGUCAGCGCAAGCGAAGCUCCUGAUCGAAGCCCCGGUAAACGGCGGCCGUAACUAUAACGGUCCUAAGGUAGCGAAAUUCCUUGUCGGGUAAGUUCCGACCUGCACGAAUGGCGUAAUGAUGGCCAGGCUGUCUCCACCCGAGACUCAGUGAAAUUGAACUCGCUGUGAAGAUGCAGUGUACCCGCGGCAAGACGGAAAGACCCCGUGAACCUUUACUAUAGCUUGACACUGAACAUUGAGCCUUGAUGUGUAGGAUAGGUGGGAGGCUUUGAAGUGUGGACGCCAGUCUGCAUGGAGCCGACCUUGAAAUACCACCCUUUAAUGUUUGAUGUUCUAACGUGGACCCGUUACCCGGGUUGCGGACAGUGUCUGGUGGGUAGUUUGACUGGGGCGGUCUCCUCCUAAAGAGUAACGGAGGAGCACGAAGGUUGGCUAAUCCUGGUCGGACAUCAGGAGGUUAGUGCAAUGGCAUAAGCCAGCUUGACUGCGAGCGUGACGGCGCGAGCAGGUGCGAAAGCAGGUCAUAGUGAUCCGGUGGUUCUGAAUGGAAGGGCCAUCGCUCAACGGAUAAAAGGUACUCCGGGGAUAACAGGCUGAUACCGCCCAAGAGUUCAUAUCGACGGCGGUGUUUGGCACCUCGAUGUCGGCUCAUCACAUCCUGGGGCUGAAGUAGGUCCCAAGGGUAUGGCUGUUCGCCAUUUAAAGUGGUACGCGAGCUGGGUUUAGAACGUCGUGAGACAGUUCGGUCCCUAUCUGCCGUGGGCGCUGGAGAACUGAGGGGGGCUGCUCCUAGUACGAGAGGACCGGAGUGGACGCAUCACUGGUGUUCGGGUUGUCAUGCCAAUGGCACUGCCCGGUAGCUAAAUGCGGAAGAGAUAAGUGCUGAAAGCAUCUAAGCACGAAACUUGCCCCGAG
This 2173-nucleotide ribosomal RNA is filed under the name Salmonella enterica subsp. enterica serovar Enteritidis. RNAcentral describes it as "partial 23S ribosomal RNA". It matches the Rfam family "Bacterial large subunit ribosomal RNA", at positions 646 to 2803 of the family's 2925-position model. Lineage: Bacteria; Pseudomonadati; Pseudomonadota; Gammaproteobacteria; Enterobacterales; Enterobacteriaceae. The record is from RNAcentral.